GUGGGGAAUAUUGGACAAUGGGCGAAAGCCUGAUCCAGCCAUGCCGCGUGUGUGAAGAAGGUCUUCGGAUUGUAAAGCACUUUAAGUUGGGAGGAAGGGCAGUAAGUUAAUACCUUGCUGUUUUGACGUUACCGACAGAAUAAGCACCGGCUAACUUCGUGCCAGCAGCCGCAGUAAUACGAAGGGUGCAUGCGUUAAUCGGAAUUACUGGGCGUAAAGCGCGCGUAAGUGGUUUUGUAAGUUGGAGGUGAAAGCCCCGGGCUCAACCUGGGAGCUGCCUCAAGAACUGCAUGACUAGAGUACGGUAGAGGGUAGUGAAAUUUCCUGUGUAGCGGUGAAAUGCGUAGAUAUAGUAAGGAACACCAGUGGCGAAGGCGACUACCUGGACUGAUACUGACACUGAGGUGCGAAAGCGUCGGGAGCAAACAGGAUUAGAUACCCUAGUAGUCC
This 450-nucleotide ribosomal RNA is filed under the name uncultured bacterium. RNAcentral describes it as "partial 16S ribosomal RNA". It matches the Rfam family "Bacterial small subunit ribosomal RNA", at positions 354 to 796 of the family's 1533-position model. The record is from RNAcentral.